Molecule: transfer RNA, 78 nt
Filed under: bacterium
Lineage: Bacteria
Description: tRNA-Ile
Rfam family: tRNA
About the family: Transfer RNA (tRNA) molecules are approximately 80 nucleotides in length.
Source: RNAcentral
GGGCCCAUAGCUCAGCCUGGUCAGAGCAAUCGGCUCAUAACCGAGAGGUCCCAGGUUCAAAUCCUGGUGGGCCCACCA